Molecule: long non-coding RNA, 776 nt
Organism: Oncorhynchus tshawytscha (Chinook salmon)
Lineage: Eukaryota; Metazoa; Chordata; Actinopteri; Salmoniformes; Salmonidae
Source: Ensembl
UUGACUUGAAUACAGUUUAUUUUGUAUAUUGAUACAUAAUGCACAAAUAUAUACUGCUCUCAAAACAGAAAUCACUUCAUUAACAUUUCUAUAAUUCUGUCAGGUAGCAAUACUGUGAAGGCUAAACGAUUCUUUAAGGUAGCAAUACUGUGAAGGCUAAACGAUUCUUUAAGGCAGCAAUACUGUGAAGGCUAAACGAUUCUGUCAGGUAGCAAUACUGUGAAGGCUAAACCAUUAACAGUAUAUAAUGGCAAGUUGUUCCAGUGAAGAGGGACAGUCAUCUUGGGUAACAGCAUUGGACUGACGGUCACUGAGGGUUUCGGGUCCUCAUUCCAGCAGGAUUGUCUAGGCUUUAUAGCAAAAUAUGUUGCAGUAAAAGGAUUAUCUAUAAGGCUUUUGGCAGCUACAUAUUUAAAGAUACAUACUGAGAUAUAUAUUUUUUUUUUGGGGGGUCACAAUGAUCACCAGCCACUUGUUUUGGGAAACAACAGAGGGAUUUUCCAUAAGCCUUUGGGGGUGCCAGCCGCUUAUUUAAGUCUUCAGUUAGAUCUAUCUAUCUAUCUAUCUAUCUAUCUAUCUAUCUAUCUAUCUAUCUAUCUAUCUAUCUAUCUAUCUAUCUAUCUAUCUAUCUAUCCUACCUAUCUAUCUAUCUAUCUAUCUAUCUAUCUAUCUAUCUAUCUAUCUAUCUAUCUAUCUAUCUAUCUAUCUAUCUAUCUAUCAACUGUCUACCUAUCUAUCUACCUAUCUAUCUAUCUAUCUACCUACCUAUCUAUCUA